UUCCCUGCGGCCUGCCCUUUCACCAGCGCUGACACAUCCCAGUUGUCAGUUACUGUCCUGUGGCCAAGCCCAUGCUGUCUACUUACACAAAGCCACUGGGCAGGGCAAAGUUCACAGCUCAGUCAGCCUCAGAGACAGAGAAAGAAGCAAGGGGCUGAGAGGAGAGGCCGCCCAGGUGCAGGGAGAAGGAAAGGCUCCAGCUGGCUCAUGGAUUCAAACCCAGGAUCUUCUUGCUGUGAGGCGACGGUGCAAACCAGCAGAGCACCAUGCCACCUGCACAAAGAGGUCAAAUUCAAGUGUGGCAUGAGAACUCAUAGACGUGACAGCUGAUCUCACUGAAACAAAGUCUCUCUUGUUUUUCUGUUGUUUUUCACUUUGAACAGUGUCUUCAGCGUGCGAGGCAGGCUGUGUACACAGCAGCUGAUCCACUGUGCACUCGUUUGGUCUUAUAGAAUAUCACAGAACUCCAAAUAUAUUCUGGUUUUUUUCUGCUUGCAUUCUGUUACACACCAAAGCUCAGUGUGUACAUGCUAACAAAUGUCUCGUGUAAGUCUUCUCCAACACUGGAGAGCACAUUGUUUUUGAUCCAGGAUUGUUUACAUGGAUUUCUACCAGCUAGCUGCCUUCAUGCAUGCUGCAUCUAGCUGGCUUUUUUUUUCUUUCUUUUUUUUGCUUUUCAUUGGAAGAGUGACAACGUGUCCCCUGCAUCUACUCACAUGCAUGUAUUCUUGUCCACAAGAAGUAUUACCAGAGGAAUUUCACACUGCAUUAAGAUAUUGUAUCAAAUCCUGGACAGCACUACUUCUGCAUGUAAGUCCCUCAAUAAAGCCACAGCAUAUAAUUUCCCAUCACUAUCAUAUACACUGGAUGGAGGUAAUAUUGCCCUAAAACAGAAUAAUCUCUUCAGGAAUCAGGAGAUGUUUCAUCAGGUCUAAGAAACUUAUUUUCUUAUUGAUUCACAGCGAGUUUUCCUUCUCCAGGGAGCAUUUUGGGAAGUGUAGCUAAAUCCUUCCAGCCAAAUAGACCCCAAAGAAUAAAAGUAUCUCCUAAAUGUAGGAGUUAAGGCAGGGCUGUCAAACAAAAGGCCCAUGGGCCAGAAUUGGCCUGGCAAAGACUCCAAUCUGGCCACUGGAUCGCUUUUGAAAAUGGGAAGGAGGGCAGAAAUUUUGGACUUUUAACCAUAUUUUUUCAUUUUACAGGUUUUCCUGCUAAUAUAUCCCUCCACUGUGAACAUUGAAACAUCUAAAUAUUUAAGAAAUAUUUAAUUGUAUUUAUUUUUUACAAUCUAAGCCCCAAAACAGUCCUGCUGACACUUUUUUUUUUUUCAUCUAUUGCAGCAACAUUUCUUUACCAUGUGGAAAAAAGUAAGACAUACUUGGUCCGACC
Oreochromis aureus is the source of this 1386-nucleotide long non-coding RNA. NCBI's taxonomy places the organism in Eukaryota, Metazoa, Chordata, Actinopteri, Cichliformes, Cichlidae. The record is from Ensembl.